Mauremys reevesii (Reeves's turtle) is the source of this 746-nucleotide long non-coding RNA. RefSeq lists it as uncharacterized. The transcript has 5 exons. Lineage: Eukaryota; Metazoa; Chordata; Testudines; Geoemydidae. The record is from RefSeq and is a predicted model, not a curated record.
ACUGCUUUGAGACCCAGCUGUGACUAAAGACCAAAGCUGAGUUUAUUUUCUUUUUCUGGGACUACAUAGCAGGCUGUGAAAACAACUGAGGAAUCUGAACCCACUAAAAAUGGCCCUGUUGUAGUUGUGAUGGAUUCCCCCCAGGGUGCCACUUGGAACUGGGAUACCACUGAGCCCGUCUGACCUACCACCCUGGGCUCCCCUUUCACACUGUGGCGCUGUGAUAAAUUGCCACACUCUCCAAGCUUCUUAUUUCACCAGCAUACAGGAAAAUUUUAAAAAAGAGGGGUGAGGACGGGAUGAAAAUGUUUAAAAGCAUGGAAAGACAUCCAUCUGAAGAGAAAUUGAAAAGAUGGACUGUUCAGUGAAGAGAUGAGAUCAGUAAACAGAUGUGAGAAAGAUGUAUGCACGCCCAGGCAAUGCGGGUGGAAUGGGAACUGCUAUUUUAUUUUUUAAUCAAAUCUGGAUUUUGCAAUUAGAAAAAUGCACUCUCUCAAGGCAAAGGUUUAAUCGAACAUGAAAACUGCUUAGUACACUUGAAUGUAAUGGCUGAUUGGGCUGAACCAAGGAAAGGAGAAGCUACAGAACCUUGGCCUCACCAUGAUGAAAUUCUACUCCCUGAUCAGACCUGACAUGAACAGAUCAAAAGAGAUGUUCCUGAUGGCAAACUGAACUGAUAUACAACAGCCGAUAUACGGCACAGCUAUAUUAAUGUGUAAUCAUCCAUAGGUUCCAGAAUGAGACAA